AGGGAAACCGAGUCUUAACUGGGCGUUAAGUUGCAGGGUAUAGACCCGAAACCCGGUGAUCUAGCCAUGGGCAGGUUGAAGGUUGGGUAACACUAACUGGAGGACCGAACCGACUAAUGUUGAAAAAUUAGCGGAUGACUUGUGGCUGGGGGUGAAAGGCCAAUCAAACCGGGAGAUAGCUGGUUCUCCCCGAAAGCUAUUUAGGUAGCGCCUCGUGAACUCAUCUUCGGGGGUAGAGCACUGUUUCGGCUAGGGGGUCAUCCCGACUUACCAACCCGAUGCAAACUGCGAAUACCGAAGAAUGUUAUCACGGGAGACACACGGCGGGUGCUAACGUCCGUCGUGAAGAGGGAAACAACCCAGACCGCCAGCUAAGGUCCCAAAGUCACAGUUAAGUGGGAAACGAUGUGGGAAGGCUCAGACAGCCAGGAUGUUGGCUUAGAAGCAGCCAUCAUUUAAAGAAAGCGUAAUAGCUCACUGGUCGAGUCGGCCUGCGCGGAAGAUGUAACGGGGCUAAACUGUGCACCGAAGCUGCGGCAGCGACGCUUAUGCGUUGUUGGGUAGGGGAGCGUUCUGUAAGCCUGCGAAGGUGUCCUGUGAGGGAUGCUGGAGGUAUCAGAAGUGCGAAUGCUGACAUAAGUAACGAUAAUGCGGGUGAAAAGCCCGCUCGCCGGAAGACCAAGGGUUCCUGUCCAACGUUAAUCGGGGCAGGGUGAGUCGACCCCUAAGGCGAGGCCGAAAGGCGUAGUCGAUGGGAAACGGGUUAAUAUUCCCGUACUUGGUGUUACUGCGAAGGGGGGACGGAGAAGGCUAUGUUGGCCGGGCGACGGUUGUCCCGGUUUAAGCGUGUAGGCUGGUUUUCCAGGCAAAUCCGGAAAAUCAAGGCUGAGGCGUGAUGACGAGGCACUACGGUGCUGAAGCAACAAAUGCCCUGCUUCCAGGAAAAGCCUCUAAGCAUCAGGUAACAUCAAAUCGUACCCCAAACCGACACAGGUGGUCAGGUAGAGAAUACCAAGGCGCUUGAGAGAACUCGGG
RNAcentral lists this ribosomal RNA (1035 nucleotides) under Salmonella enterica subsp. enterica serovar Kentucky. RNAcentral's name for it is "partial 23S ribosomal RNA". It matches the Rfam family "Bacterial large subunit ribosomal RNA", at positions 670 to 1704 of the family's 2925-position model. The record is from RNAcentral. Lineage: Bacteria; Pseudomonadati; Pseudomonadota; Gammaproteobacteria; Enterobacterales; Enterobacteriaceae.